This 497-nucleotide ribosomal RNA is filed under the name uncultured bacterium. RNAcentral's name for it is "partial 16S ribosomal RNA". It matches the Rfam family "Bacterial small subunit ribosomal RNA", at positions 28 to 507 of the family's 1533-position model. The record is from RNAcentral.
GAUGAACGCUGGCGGCGUGCCUAAUACAUGCCAGUCGAGCGAACAGACGAGGAGCUUGCUCCUCUGACGUUAGCGGCGGACGGGUGAGUAACACGUGGAUAACCUACCUAUAAGACUGGGAUAACUUCGGGAAACCGGAGCUAAUACCGGAUAAUAUAUUGAACCGCAUGGUUCAAUAGUGAAAGACGGUUUUGCUGUCACUUAUAGAUGGAUCCGCGCCGCAUUAGCUAGUUGGUAAGGUAACGGCUUACCAAGGCGACGAUGCGUAGCCGACCUGAGAGGGUGAUCGGCCACACUGGAACUGGGACGCGGUCCAGACUCCUACGGGAGGCAGCAGUAGGGAAUCUUCCGCAAUGGGCGAAAGCCUGACGGAGCAACGCCGCGUGAGUGAUGAAGGUCUUCGGAUCGUAAAACUCUGUUAUGAGGGAAGAACAAAUGUGUAAGUAACUAUGCACGUAUUGACGGUACCUAAUCAGAAAGCCACGGCUAACUACGUG